Molecule: RNase P RNA, 338 nt
Filed under: Burkholderiales bacterium RIFCSPLOWO2_02_FULL_57_36
Lineage: Bacteria; Pseudomonadati; Pseudomonadota; Betaproteobacteria; Burkholderiales
Description: RNase P RNA component class A
Rfam family: Bacterial RNase P class A
About the family: Ribonuclease P (RNase P) is a ubiquitous endoribonuclease, found in archaea, bacteria and eukarya as well as chloroplasts and mitochondria. Its best characterised activity is the generation of mature 5'-ends of tRNAs by cleaving the 5'-leader elements of precursor-tRNAs.
Source: RNAcentral
GAAGCAAGCCAAGACAGCCGCUGGCCGUUGCUGCAACUUCGGUUGAUCACAGCACGGCGGGAGGAAGGUCCGGACUCCAUAGAGCAGGAUGACGGUUAAUGGCCGUCCGCCGUGAGGCGAGGAAUAGGGCCACAGAGACGAGCGUAUUAAGUUACGGUGAAACGCGGUAACCUCCAUCCGGAGCAAUUCCAAAUAGGCACGCGUUGAUGUUGCUCGCGGAGCGUGCGGGUAGGAAGCUUGAGCCGUGAAGCAAUUCACGGCCUAGAUGAAUGGCUGUCAUAGCGGACAGGUUUACUUGUCCGCCGUAACAGAAUCCGGCCUAUCGGCUUGCUUCAUUU